AUACUUACCUGAUGGAAGAAACAUCCUAAUCAUGAAGGUGAUUUUCCCAGGGCAAGGCUCAUCCACUGCAUUCCGCAUGUCUGAGAUUUCCCCAAAUGUGGGAAACUAGCCUUCAUAAUUUGUUGUAGUGAGAGACUGCAUUCAUGCUCUCCCCUG
Small nuclear RNA from Cricetulus griseus (Chinese hamster), 156 nucleotides. Its record names the gene U1. It matches the Rfam family "U1 spliceosomal RNA". From Rfam's summary of the family: U1 is a small nuclear RNA (snRNA) component of the spliceosome (involved in pre-mRNA splicing). Its 5' end forms complementary base pairs with the 5' splice junction, thus defining the 5' donor site of an intron. The record is from Ensembl. NCBI's taxonomy places the organism in Eukaryota, Metazoa, Chordata, Mammalia, Rodentia, Cricetidae.